Molecule: long non-coding RNA, 345 nt
Filed under: Phoenix dactylifera (date palm)
Lineage: Eukaryota; Viridiplantae; Streptophyta; Magnoliopsida; Arecales; Arecaceae
Description: long non-coding RNA (PDAC_LNC005144)
Source: RNAcentral
ACUAGAUCAAAAUAUUUUGUUUCUUAUAGCCCUGGAAGGAUGUCUGCAUAAAUAAAAUAUUUUACAGGGUCUUAACAGAAACAAUUUCAUCUUUUAACAGCCCUCUAAGGAUUUCAGUAUAAAUAAAAUAUUUAACAGGGACUUAAUAGAAACAUUUUCAUCUUUUAACAGCCCUCUAAGACUUCAGUAUAAAUAGAAUGUUUCACAGGGACUUAACAGAAACAUUUUCAUUCUUUUUAACAUCCUGGAAGGGCUGUAUGCAUAAAUAAAAUGUUCCAUAGGGGCUUAACUGAAAAUUCCUCUUUUACUGGCCAAACGAAUUCGGGUUUCGGAUCGAAACCCAAA